RNAcentral lists this ribosomal RNA (253 nucleotides) under uncultured bacterium. Its description in RNAcentral is "partial 16S ribosomal RNA". It matches the Rfam family "Bacterial small subunit ribosomal RNA", at positions 524 to 776 of the family's 1533-position model. The record is from RNAcentral.
UACGUAGGGUGCAGGCGUUAAUCGGAAUUACUGGGCGUAAAGCGUGCGCAGGCGGCUUCGCAAGUCAGACGUGAAAUCCCCGGGCUUAACCUGGGAAUGGCGUUUGAAACUACGGAGCUGGAGUGUGGCAGAGGGAGGUAGAAUUCCGCGUGUAGCGGUGAAAUGCGUAGAUAUGUGGAGGAAUACCGAUGGCGAAGGCAGCCUCCUGGGCCAACACUGACGCUCAUGCACGAAAGCGUGGGGAGCAAACAGG